Molecule: ribosomal RNA, 282 nt
Filed under: Streptomyces sp. CKCM2
Lineage: Bacteria; Bacillati; Actinomycetota; Actinomycetes; Kitasatosporales; Streptomycetaceae
Description: partial 16S ribosomal RNA
Rfam family: Bacterial small subunit ribosomal RNA
Source: RNAcentral
UUAGUCUCAUGAUCCCGCACGGAUACCCGCCUGAGAGGGCGACCGGCCACACUGGGACUGAACACGGCCAUGGAUCCGGAGGCAGCAGUGGGGAAUAUUGCACAUGGGGAAAGAAGGAUGCAGCGACGCCGCGUGAGGGAUGACGGCCUUCGGGUUGUAAACCUCAUUCAGCAGGGAAGAAGCGAAUUUGACGGUACCUGCACAAGAAGCGCCGGCUAACUACGUGCCGGCGGGGGCGGUAAUAAAAUGACGCAAGCGUUCACCGAAAUAUGGGGUGAAAGG